UCAUUUUUUGUGGUUGUAACUUCUUUUAAUUUUCUAAUACUCCCCUUGGCUUCUACAGUCAUUGCCACUUCCAUGAGCUUGUGUCAUUGGAGCUAAUUCAAGCAUUCAAAUUGGAGCAGUAGUCCACCGAGGUCUUGCAUACGCUAGAGUCCAAAAUGAGCCACUCUAACCCAUUUCUUCUAUAUUCACUUGUAAACUAUUUCUCGUCCACCUGUUUCUGAUUAGAUAUUCUUGAGAGGUGAAGGGCGUGAGCGCAAAGGAGACUCGGAAGCGAUAUGGAUGCGGAAGCUGUACAGGCACAAAGAAUGCUCGAGUUGCGGGCAAGAUGCGCAACCUCUCGCGGCAAUACUAUAAGGAAGCCGAUCAACUCUUCGGCGAGAUUGCAUCCGCGGAACUGAUUCAAGCGUUCGAAUUGUAGCAGUGAUCAGCCAAAGCCUCGCAUACGCUGGAGUGAAUGGCGUGGGCGUGGAAAGGAGACUCAAAAUUGAGACGGAUUCGGAAGCGUCAGAGG
This is a non-coding RNA of Nelumbo nucifera (sacred lotus), 511 nucleotides long. Lineage: Eukaryota; Viridiplantae; Streptophyta; Magnoliopsida; Proteales; Nelumbonaceae. The record is from RefSeq and is a predicted model, not a curated record.